This 829-nucleotide ribosomal RNA is filed under the name uncultured Pseudomonadota bacterium. Its description in RNAcentral is "bacterial SSU rRNA". It matches the Rfam family "Bacterial small subunit ribosomal RNA", at positions 58 to 883 of the family's 1533-position model. Lineage: Bacteria; Pseudomonadati; Pseudomonadota. The record is from RNAcentral.
CAAGUCGAGCGAGAAAGUCCCUUCGGGGAUGAGUACAGCGGCGGACGGGUGAGUAACACGUAAGAAUCUGCCCUAUAGUGAGGAAUACCCUCGAGAAAUUGAGUUAAUACUGCAUAAGUCCCUGCGGGGAGAAAGGCGUCUUUUAUGUCGCCGCUAUAGGAUGAGCUUGCGGACUAUCAGCUUGUUGGUGAGGUAAAAGCUCACCAAGGCUAUGACGGUUAACCGGCCUGAGAGGGUGUACGGUCACAUAGGCACUGAGACACGGGCCUGACUCCUACGGGAGGCAGCAGUGGGGAAUAUUGCGCAAUGGGCGAAAGCCUGACGCAGCGACGCCGCGUGGAGGAUGAAGGUCUUUGGAUUGUAAACUCCUGUCAGAUGGAAAGAAAGGUUUGUGUUUAAUAGACGCAAAAUAUGACGGUACCAUCAGAGGAAGCACCGGCUAACUUCGUGCCAGCAGCCGCGGUAAUACGAAGGGUGCAAGCGUUAUUCGGAAUCACUGGGCGUAAAGGGUGUGUAGACGGUACAUUAAGUUCGUCGUUAAAGGCUCCGGCCUAACUGGAGUAUUGCGAUGAAAACUGGUGAGCUAGAGGGUGAGAGAGAGAAGUGGAAUUCCCGGAGUAGCGGUAAAAUGCGUGGAUCUCGGGAGGAACACCAAUGGCGAAGCAGCUUCUUGGCUCAUUCCUGACGUUGAGGCACGAAAGCGUGGGGAGCAAACAGGAUUAGAUACCCUGGUAGUCCACGCCGUAAACGAUAAUCACUAGAUGUUGGUUCGGCUUAGCUGGAUCAGUGUCGUAGCUAACGCGUUUAAGUGAUUCGCCUGGGGGAGUAU